AGGGUUCGAUUAUGGCUCAGGAUGAACGCUAGCGGCAGGCCUAACACAUGCAAGUCGAGGGGUAACAGGGAGAAGCUUGCUUUUCCGCUGACGACCGGCGCACGGGUGCGUAACGCGUAUACAAUCUGCCUUAUACUGGGGUAUAGCCUUUAGAAAUGAAGAUUAAUCCCCCAUAGUCUCUUAGAGUGGCAUCAUUUUAGGAGUAAAGGUUACGGUAUAAGAUGAGUAUGCGUUCUAUUAGUUUGUUGGUGAGGUAACGGCUCACCAAGGCUACGAUAGAUAGGGGCCCUGAGAGGGGGAUCCCCCACACUGGUACUGAGACACGGACCAGACUCCUACGGGAGGCAGCAGUGAGGAAUAUUGGACAAUGGAGGCAACUCUGAUCCAGCCAUGCCGCGUGCAGGAAGACUGCCCUAUGGGUUGUAAACUGCUUUUAUAUAGGAAGAAACCUACUUACGUGUAAGUAGCUGACGGUACUAUAAGAAUAAGGAUCGGCUAACUCCGUGCCAGCAGCCGCGGUAAUAC
Molecule: ribosomal RNA, 525 nt
Filed under: uncultured bacterium
Lineage: Bacteria
Description: bacterial SSU rRNA
Rfam family: Bacterial small subunit ribosomal RNA
Source: RNAcentral